UCGAACGAAGCACUGCGGAAAGAGACUUCGGUCAAUUGAAGCUUUGACUUAGUGGCGGACGGGUGAGUAAUGCAUGAGCAACCUGCCCUGGAGAGGGGGACAACAGCUGGAAACGGCUGCUAAUACCGCAUGAAGUUGCGGGGAGGCAUCUUCCUGCAACCAAAGAUUUAUCGCUCUGGGGUGGGCUCAUGUCUGAUUAGAUAGUUGGCGGGGCAACGGCCCACCAAGUCUACGAUCAGUAGCCGGACUGAGAGGUUGAACGGCCACAUUGGGACUGAGAUACGGCCCAGACUCCUACGGGAGGCAGCAGUGGGGAAUAUUGGGCAAUGGGCGCAAGCCUGACCCAGCAACGCCGCGUGAAGGAAGAAGGCUUUCGGGUUGUAAACUUCUUUUAUCAGGGACGAAGAAAGUGACGGUACCUGAUGAAUAAGCCACGGCUAACUACGUGCCAGCAGCCGCGGUAAUACGUAGGUGGCGAGCGUUGUCCGGAUUUACUGGGUGU
RNAcentral lists this ribosomal RNA (502 nucleotides) under uncultured rumen bacterium. RNAcentral's name for it is "bacterial SSU rRNA". It matches the Rfam family "Bacterial small subunit ribosomal RNA", at positions 62 to 561 of the family's 1533-position model. The record is from RNAcentral.